CAUCAUUGCCGCUGCUGCUGUCACCACUACUACCACUGCAGGGUUGCCUAGAAGCCGAUGAUCACUGUAAAGUUCCCCAGUGAAUUAAGUUUGGGCCAGGAGAUACUAAAGGAUACAAAAAUGGCAGACUCACUGCUGUUCUGGAGGUCUGUGUUAAACACACAUGGAAGAAUCUAUGCCAGGUACUCUGCCACCAUGGCAAAGCAUCCGAACAUGAAGAAGAUGGGUUUGAAUACCUGAAGAAUGUUGGGAGCUAAGUCAGUAUUCGUCCACAUCUGAAGACUGACAAAUCAUUUCAAGCGAAAAGAAGUAUGUAAUGUAGAAUGACAUCAUAUUUUAUGACUCUUUUAUCAUUAUGCUUUCUCUCAGGGAACUUCUUUAGAAAAACCGUUUCCCCAGAGUAAGUAUAUUUCCAUCAAACAGAACCCACUGAAACAUGAUGAGGACAAAGGCUACACCUCAAUUUAAUAAAGAUGCCUAAAUAUACAAGUCAGACCUGGAUAUUACUUAUGAAGCUGCAUAUAUAUUAAAACAUUUUAAGCUGUGGCAUUUAAUACAGCUAACAUAAAAAGUGAUAAUAAACUGGUUUCAUUGAUAAUGCUAAUCAUUUUACAGUUAAAAGAUUAAUGAGUAAAAUGUUAAAAAUGAUAAAAACUUCAAUAAAUAAAGAGUAAAAGAGGUUAAUGUAGUGGUAUAGCUGAAAAUUCAAGAAAAGAAGGCCGUAAAGUGGAGGUUUAAAAUGUCUUUUGUUUUCUAUAAAAAAAAACCACGCCAUUAAUAUCAAGGAUAUAUCAAUCUACAAGGAACAAAAGUGCCCAUUAUUGGCUUUUCAGACAAGAUAAAUAGAGUGCUUAAAGAACAGAAUUACAUAAAAAUAAACUUUCAAUUUUAAUAAAUGUAAAUUUUUUUUUUAUUUUUUGGAAAAGGAAGCACAGUGAUCUCUUAGAGGAAACAAGAUGGACUAAGUAAAGUGUAUAUUUUAGGAAGAUACUGUAGUGUGGACUGUCAAUAUCCAGUAAGUCUUGGAAAGUUUUGCAGUCAAAUAAGCCAAAAGGGUUUAGAAAGCACAGAAAUAUGUCAUUAUUUUUAGGAGAAGCAGCCUGUCUCUAGGUUGUCAGUGUCAGCAAUAGGUAGGAUACUAAAGAAACCAAUAAAUCUUAAUGACAACUUAAUUAUUUACAUGAGAUUCCUGGUGUUUUCUGUGACAUGUGUCUCUUGGGAGAAACCAGGAGACCUCACGCACUUUAAAUUUUGAACAGAACUAAGAAGACAAUACACUAGCAUGAAAUCAAAUAUGAACAAUACUAAAAGCAGUACAGGUAUGUUUUUAAAUUUUUCUAUUAAUUUUGGUAUCAAUACAAAUCCUUACAAUCCCAAGAAAAGAAAAAAGAUUGUGAUUUUAGAGAAUGACAGAGAAAUGAGAGAAAUGUGAGGAAACGGUAUAGAAGUGUGACUUACUACUUUCAAAUAGUACCUAAAUCUUUUUUUUUUUUUUUUGAGACGGAGUCUUGCUCUGUCGCCCAGGGCCCAGGCUAGAGUGCAGUGGCGCGAUCUCGGCUCACUGCAAACUCCACCUCUCGUGUUCAAGGGAUUCUCCUGCCUCAGCCUCCCGCGUAGACGGCAUUACAGGCACCUGCCACCAAGCCUGGAUAAUUUUUGUAUUUUUUAGUAGAGACGAGGUUUCACCAUCUCAGCCAGGCUGGUCUCGAACUCCUGACCUCAUGAUCCACCUGCCUCGGCCUCCCAAACUGCUGGCAUCACAGGCGUGAGCCACCACGCCCGGCCAAAUAGUACCUGAAUCUUAUUAAUUUUAUGAUUUAGGAUAUUUUUUAAGAUUCUAAAUCAGAAUUUUACAAUUUAUGAAUUUAACAAUUGGCACUGUAAUAUAUGAUUUGUGCAAUUGUUUUCUAUAUCUGUAUCUACGUAUGUGACUCAUUGCUUACUCAUAUUAGGUAAUCAGGAAAUAAGUGUUAUUAGUGAUAUAGUAUUCAGUAAUUCUUGAACAAAUUUUUAUUGAGCACUUUAUGUAUAUACUAUAUUAGGUGCUAGGAGAAAAAGGGGUAAGGAAAAUAUAUAAGAUGUGUCCUCAAGACAUAUAUUUUAGUGGCCAGUUACCCUACAAAUAAAAAUGAAUGCAAAAUUACAAAUUCUGCUGAGUUGUGUGACAGAAACACAAUGUGUUCUGAAAAGAAAUAGGAUAUACCUAACUUAGAUUACAGAGGAAGAAGAAAUCAGAAAAAAUAUCUUUAGUAGGUGGCCUUUUAAACAGUGCUUUG
Pan troglodytes (chimpanzee) is the source of this 2276-nucleotide long non-coding RNA. RefSeq lists it as uncharacterized. Lineage: Eukaryota; Metazoa; Chordata; Mammalia; Primates; Hominidae. The record is from RefSeq and is a predicted model, not a curated record. The transcript is spliced from 3 exons.